UAAAUACAGACAGUACAUGAAAGAAGUAGGAGUCGUGAGCCACUGUCCGCGAUGCUGAUGAUAAAGCCCUCCGUAUUUUCAUCUCCUCUCCUAAACGUCACCAAAUCUCCUCCCUUUCAACUCCCCACUUCCAACGCCGCAACUGGUAUCACACUAUCGACAUGGAACCCGCAGCAGGCCCUUCAAUUUCGGGUGUCAUCGUCGGCCAAUCCGACGGUCGAGGUUGCACCAUCAUCCCCGGCUAAUGUCGACGGUGAAGAACCCGAAUCUGGAGCGGACAUUGUGCGGAAGUUCUACGACGGAAUCAACCGCCAGGAUUUGGCCUCAGUGGAGGAGCUCAUCGCCGAUAAAUGUGUGUACGAGGACCUUGUGUUUCCUCGGCCUUUUGUUGGUCGUAAGGAUAUACUUCAGUUCUUUAGAAAGUUUAAUGAUUCUGUCGGCAAAGACCUUCAGUUUAUUAUUGACGAUUUAUCCACCAAGGAUUCUACAGCAGUUGGGGCCACAUGGCAUUUAGAAUGGAAUGGGAAGCCUUUCCCCUUUAGCAAAGGAUGUAGCUUUUAUCGGUUGGAGGUCAUAAACGGCAAGAGACAGAUUAUGUGGAGCAACUAACAAAUAGACCUAAGCCCAGCACUUUGCUUUGAUCAAUGAUUACAGUUACCAGACAACCAGCUAUGGUCGAGAUAGUGUUGAACCUGCAAUCAAGCCUGGGGACUCUGUGUUGGUAGCUAUCAGAGGUGUGGCUUGGCUUCUUCGACAAUUCCCUCAGCUGGUUGACCGGUUUUAAAGUAGUUAUGUACACAGUUACAGUCACCGUAAAUAUUCAUCAUUUACAUAGAACUUGUAUAAACAAGUAAAAUUUGUAUAUGCAUUACAGUGAUUACAUAUGUAUAUUGAUCACAUUUUACAUAAAAAUGUAUCUACAUUAAAAAGGAAAAAUUAUUUGGGUGGAACAUGUGAA
Molecule: RNA transcript, 958 nt
Organism: Rosa chinensis
Lineage: Eukaryota; Viridiplantae; Streptophyta; Magnoliopsida; Rosales; Rosaceae
Exons: 6
Source: RefSeq, a predicted model, not a curated record